RNAcentral lists this ribosomal RNA (491 nucleotides) under uncultured bacterium. Its description in RNAcentral is "partial 16S ribosomal RNA". It matches the Rfam family "Bacterial small subunit ribosomal RNA", at positions 29 to 506 of the family's 1533-position model. The record is from RNAcentral.
AGUGAACGCUGGCGGUAGGCCUAACACAUGCAAGUCGAACGGCAGCACAGUAAGAGCUUGCUCUUACGGGUGGCGAGUGGCGGACGGGUGAGGAAUACAUCGGAAUCUACUUUUUCGUGGGGGAUAACGUAGGGAAACUUACGCUAAUACCGCAUACGACCUACGGGUGAAAGCAGGGGAUCUUCGGACCUUGCGCGAUUGAAUGAGCCGAUGUCGGAUUAGCUAGUUGGCGGGUUAAAGGCCCACCAAGGCGACGAUCCGUAGCUGGUCUGAGAGGAUGAUCCGCCACACUGGAACGGAGACACGGUCCAGCCGCCUAGGGGGGGCAGCGGUGGGGAAUAUUGGAAAAGGGGGGCAAGCCUGAUCCAGCCAUACCGCGGGGGGGAAGAAGGCCUUCGGGUUGUAAAGCCCUUUUUGUGGGAAAAAAAAGCAGCGGGUUAAUACCCCGCUGUUCGGCCGGUACCCAAAAAAUAAGCACCGGCUAAUUUCGU